AUUGAACGCUGGCGGCAUGCUUUACACAUGCAAGUCGAACGGUAACAGGUCUUCGGAUGCUGACGAGUGGCGAACGGGUGAGUAAUACAUCGGAACGUGCCUAGUAGUGGGGGAUAACUACUCGAAAGAGUAGCUAAUACCGCAUGAGAUCUACGGAUGAAAGCAGGGGACCUUCGGGCCUUGUGCUACUAGAGCGGCUGAUGGCAGAUUAGGUAGUUGGUGGGGUAAAGGCUUACCAAGCCUGCGAUCUGUAGCUGGUCUGAGAGGACGACCAGCCACACUGGGACUGAGACACGGCCCAGACUCCUACGGGAGGCAGCAGUGGGGAAUUUCGGACAAUGGGCGAAAGCCUGAUCCAGCAAUGCCGCGUGCAGGAUGAAGGCCCUCGGGUUGUAAACUGCUUUUGUACGGAACGAAAAGCCUGGGGCUAAUAUCCCCGGGUCAUGACGGUACCGUAAGAAUAAGCACCGGCUAACUACGUG
This 482-nucleotide ribosomal RNA is filed under the name uncultured bacterium. RNAcentral's name for it is "partial 16S ribosomal RNA". It matches the Rfam family "Bacterial small subunit ribosomal RNA", at positions 30 to 507 of the family's 1533-position model. The record is from RNAcentral.